UAACGCGAAGAACCUUACCCGGGCUUGAACUGCAGCGGAAGGAUACAGAGAUGUUGACGUCCUUCGGGACCGCUGUGGAGGUGCUGCAUGGUUGUCGUCAGCUCGUGCCGUGAGGUGUCGGCUUAAGUGCCAUAACGAGCGCAACCCUUUUCAUCAGUUGCCAUCAGGUGAUGCUGGGCACUCUGGUGAUACUGCCACCGUAAGGUGUGAGGAAGGUGGGGAUGACGUCAAAUCAGCACGGCCCUUACGUCCGGGGCUACACACGUGUUACAAUGGGGUAUACAGAAGGCGGGAUCACGGCAACGUGUUUCAAAUCUUUAAAGUGCUCCUCAGUUCGGAUUGGGGUCUGCAACCCGACCCCAUGAAGCUGGAUUCGCUAGUAAUCGCGCAUCAGCCAUGGCGCGGUGAAUACGUUCCCGGGUCUUGUACACACCGA
This 436-nucleotide ribosomal RNA is filed under the name uncultured rumen bacterium. RNAcentral's name for it is "bacterial SSU rRNA". It matches the Rfam family "Bacterial small subunit ribosomal RNA", at positions 957 to 1393 of the family's 1533-position model. The record is from RNAcentral.